GAUGAACGCUGGCGGCGUGCUUAACACAUGCAAGUCGAACGAGAAGUGGAGACGGAAACCUUCGGGCGGAAGACUUUAUUUCGAGUGGCGGACGGGUGAGUAACGCGUGGGUAACCUGCCUCAUACAGGGGGAUAACAGUUGGAAACGACUGUUAAUACCGCAUAAGACCACAGCACCGCAUGGUGCGGGGGUAAAAACUCCGGUGGUAUGAGAUGGACCCGCGUUCGAUUAGCCAGUUGGCGGGGUAACGGCCCACCAAAGCGACGAUCGAUAGCCGAUCUGAGAGGAUGACCGGCCACAUUGGGACUGAGACACGGCCCAAACUCCUACGGGAGGCAGCAGAGGGGAAUAUUGCACAAUGGGGGAAACCCUGAUGCAGCGACGCCGCGUGAGUGAAGAAGUAUUUCGGUAUGUAAAGCUCUAUCAGCAGGGAAGAAAAUGACGGUACCUGAGUAAGAAGCCCCGGCUAACUACGUG
RNAcentral lists this ribosomal RNA (478 nucleotides) under uncultured bacterium. RNAcentral describes it as "partial 16S ribosomal RNA". It matches the Rfam family "Bacterial small subunit ribosomal RNA", at positions 28 to 507 of the family's 1533-position model. The record is from RNAcentral.